This 79-nucleotide transfer RNA is filed under the name Hypoxylon sp. FL1857. RNAcentral's name for it is "tRNA-Thr". It matches the Rfam family "tRNA". Rfam says of the family: Transfer RNA (tRNA) molecules are approximately 80 nucleotides in length. Their secondary structure includes four short double-helical elements and three loops (D, anti-codon, and T loops). Further hydrogen bonds mediate the characteristic L-shaped molecular structure. tRNAs have two regions of fundamental functional importance: the anti-codon, which is responsible for specific mRNA codon recognition, and the 3' end, to which the tRNAs corresponding amino acid is attached (by aminoacyl-tRNA synthetases). tRNAs cope with the degeneracy of the genetic code in two manners: having more than one tRNA (with a specific anti-codon) for a particular amino acid; and 'wobble' base-pairing, i.e. permitting non-standard base-pairing at the 3rd anti-codon position. The record is from RNAcentral. Lineage: Eukaryota; Fungi; Ascomycota; Sordariomycetes; Xylariales; Hypoxylaceae.
GCCCGCUUGGCUCAGUGGUAAAGCGCAUCACUAGUAAUAGGUUAUGAUGAGAUCACUGGUUCGAUUCCAGUAGUGGGCA